AUCUAUAUGUGUGUAUUUGUAUGUACAUAUUACCCACACAUACACACAGAAAGAUUAAUUAAAUAAUUAUGUAAUUCAUUGGGAAAAAAUUAACAGGACACUGAUAAGCAUAAGCAUUCUAAUCAAGUAACUAAUUUGAAAGCUUAGUGUCCAAACUAAAAAGCAGAGUACCUACUCCUCUGACAGCAUAUAAGUUUAUGACUUUAGUUCUUCUGAUUUCCUCAGUCACAAAGCUUAGUGACAGACCUAGCAUUGGUGGCCACAUAUUAGGAAUGCUUCCUGACUUUUACUCUGUAAUUUAUCCACAACAAGAAGAAUCCAACAAUCCUCUAGGUGUGUAUUUUCAUCUUUGUACUCAUAAAGAAUAAGGAAAAGUUGCCAUUACUUAUGCUAGAUGGAAAGUAGAAUGGGUUUUAGACCAUCUUAAAUGGAAUCAGUGCUUCAAUAAAUGGCUGUUGCCUGUCCAUCUGCCUUUCUUUAAAUACUUGCUGUAAAUUGAAUAGAUAUGCAGAGAGCCUCCUUCAUAGCAAGGAGUGAAAUCUUUUAAAGACAAUUAAGCAGUCAUGAGAAUUGUGAGGCACUGUAAGUGAAAGAAGGAAGAAAGCCUAUAGCAGAAGGGCUACCACUGACAUAGGGAAAAACCGUAAUACCUCAAGGAGAAUGCUGUAUUGGCAGAUAAUUUCAUGUUGAUGUAAUCUGAUACCAUAUAGUUCAUAUAGUAUUUGCCACUCUUAUUGCCAUUAUCUUUUGUGUUAACUCUAAAUAUGUCCUUAUGUGAUAUAUAUCAAGCUUUCUUGAUACCUUUAUAAAAGUUGGAAUAAAACUGUAUUAGGCUGAGGGAUAUAAGAAAUAUUUAAGUGUAGUGUAAAAAAAAGAAAAAACUCCAGACAAAUAUGAAGUGUGCUUUUAUUUUUUAAUCUGUGUGCUAGCAGUCAAGUUAAUGCAUUGCAUAUCAUAACAUAUGGAAAGUACCAGGUUUUCUGUGAAAUGCUUUGUUGACCAUCAGUCUUUUCUGGAUUGAUUGUUCAUGCACUUAGUACUAAUAUUGGUCAGAAAAAAAAUAUAUCUAUUUUAGUAAUCAACUUUCUUUCUGGAUUUCUUGAAUAUAGUGGCUUCUUACAUUUAGUAAAAAUAAUCUUUUAUCAACUAACACUUAAAAUGCAGUUAAAAUUGACCAGUGUUUUGAGAUAUUUAGAAACUAUUGAUUUAAACAAAUUAUUUCCAUCCAAAGUAUUUCUACAUUUUAGUAGAAGGGGAAUCAGUCAGUUAAAUUCAACAUUUUAUUUUUAAACAGGUACUUUUCAGGCCUGAUAAUUUAUGCUUCUAAGUUUUUAAUAAAGGCAAUAAAUCUUUUUUUAUUUGUCCAUUGUAAAUACACUCAUCUUUUAAGUAUGCAGUUUUCAUUGCCCAAUAGUGACUCAACUUAGACCAUAAGCUUCCCUUUCAUUGAUGUCAGUGUCACAUUAUUUGCCUUAGAAAUGAAGAAUGUUAUGAGACCUCCAACAAUAGCAAUGUUUUCUACAAAGUACAAUUUUUACAUGCACUACGAAUAGCAAUGUCAUAAGCUUUAGACUGGUAGCAAGCGUAAGUAAACAAUUCAAAUUUCUAUUCUGUAUCUUCGUGACAAAAUAUUUUACAAAUGGAUAAAAAAACCUAUAUGCUAAAUAUUUAGGAUGUUUGAAACUCAUGUACAUAGUAGAACAAGUUUCACUCUUUUUUUAAAGAAAGAUGUUCAGAAAAUAACUUUUUAUGGCGAUUGCUGAAACUGCAAGGUAGGCUAAGUAAAGAUCAAUUCAAUUCGUUACGUGCAAAUCAAUACUUGUGAGGGGAAUCGGGGUGCUUCAGCAAAUCCGGAGAUCCUUAGAAAAUGUAAGAAACAACAGAAUAAAAUGGUCACUCGUGAUAGUAGAAUACUGCCACAGUGGAAGUCUUGGAUUUUGACUACUACGUUAAUAAUAAUAGACGGCAAUAUACACAUACUUAUGCAUAGGCCUUAGAUUAUUCAGAGUAGAAAAACUACUGGAACACAGAACCCCAGCAUUUCAGUAGCUUGGCAUUAAAAAAUGUUUAUUUAUUUAUUGUCCAGUCACAAUCGAGGGCUGGCCCUGGAGGCCUCAGAGUUCUAGGAGCUUCUAUUGGAUCUACCUUUCCCUGUUGCCUUCGCAUUGUCCUUGUUUCUCUGCAGCAGACCAGGGAAGAAGCAAAGCAGAUCAUCCCCCAGGAUGUAUUUAAGGACCUGUUUUAGGGCUGUUAUGCAUCAUGUCCAGCCACAAUCCAUAAACCAGAACUCAUUCACAUGGCCACACCUACCAAUAGGAAAAGCUGGGAGAUGCAGUGGAGCUUUCUGCCCAGAAAGAUGUAGGAAAUAGUUUGUGAACAUCUAAGCGGUCUCUGUUACAGAUCUUUAUUAUCUGAGUUUAUUUCUGUCGUUGUAUCUUUAAAAAAAAAAAAACACAAAAUAUCCCAAAGUGGUUAUUUUACUUCAAGGAAUUAAAGAAAGUUAAACAUACAAACAAAAUUAUCUAUAAACAAACCUAUAAACCACCACAGAUCUUCUGAAUGAGCUUUUUCUCUGUUGAAAAACCCAGGAUUCUUUUUUUCUCAUUCAAGUGUGUGGACUGCUACUUUCUAUAGUAGAAUUUUGAUUUCAUAUUAUGUGACCUCACAUGGGCACAGCAAAGAACGUUUGUUUAAACGGUGGCAUUCCUAAAGCUCAAACCUCUAUGUACAUAUGUGUUGGCUGUACCAUGCACAGCUCUGGGAGCCCAUUUGCAUACACUACCAUGUAAAUAGCACCCUAAAGUUAUGGGCCCUGCAUGGCCUCCACAACUGUGUGACCCAAGUACAACAAUUUGCAUGAUUAAGAUUUACACCAAAAGAAUCCAAUUCCUUACAAAGCUUAAUAUUUGAAGUACUGCAGAGAGUGAAAGGACCCUCUGCCUUCAUGUAAAACACUUGGUUUUGAAUCCCUGCUGUGCCAAGUAUUUACUGUGAUAUUGGCCAUGUUAGUUAACUUACAAAAGCUUGACUUUUUCCACCAGAAAAGUAAAUAUAUACAAGACGGCAUACCUGCAAUGCCUACAAAUGCGUGGACAUUUAUAAUUCCAUUCCAAAUCCAAUUUCCUCAGCAAGGCAGAAAAAAAAAAAACUAAAAGACAAGUUUGCAGAUGCUGCCUACAUUUGUAAGAUGAAUGCAGAGGAGCGUUUACAUGAAUUUGGCUAGAACAUCAGGGAUUCUUAAUAGAAACUGACAACCAUGGUAUACAGACAAAAAGAUACUACAUCAAACUAAUCAGUCUUUCACUUCAAUGCCCAACACAUUUUUAGUGCCUGUGAUGUGCCAGGCAAUUUUAGAGUACUUUUACACAUGUUCUAUUUUUGUUUACUUAGAAAAUUGUAUGUACAGAGAUUACUACUGCUGUUUAUUCUUCUCUUACCCCAAACUUAGUUUUAUUUGCUGUGGGGAAAUAGUGUUGAUUACCAAGCUGCAGACUAAUGUGUGAGCAUGAUCCCUCUGACAAGAAGCGCUCAGUAGACUGUUAGCUGCCAGUGUCUACCACUUUUCCUGGUGGCGUACCAUCGGUCCCGUACUAUGUACAAUAAAGAAAACGUAAUGUUUUCUUUAUACUUGCAGAAGUCAACGUCGUGGUCCAAAUGCUGGUACUGGAAUGAGCCAGGAUCCAGAAGUCCUUUCACUCUUCUAUUUGUCCUUACUUGGACAUUCGUGACCACAUGCUAUACUUAAUUGUGGCUGUCUUGUAGAAACUGCCCCCACAACCCUGGAAAAGGGUAAGAAAUUCAGUGAGUGUCUUAACAUGCCAACUCUUGUUGGCAGUGGCCUAAGAGACAGGGAGACACAGGACAAAGUAGGAUAGAAGUCAUUUAGUCCUUUCAUUGGUCUCUCCUUUCAUUUAUAUUAAUUAGGGCUCUGGUUUACACCUUGUUUGCUUAAGAAUUAAUUUGUGAAAUUCAAUCAUUUUAUCGAUACCCCAUAUAGUGGCCUUCUGUUUUAUCCAUAUUUCACUUUGGAUAUUUUCAAAGCAGAGGCGUAUUCUAUUAACAUUCACAUAAUGAAUGUCAACAUGUGUUCCAUACUUUUAAUUUCCUGUCCUCAAGAGUGUGGACUUUGUUGCCAAAGAGACAGAGGCUCAAAUCCCAGGCUUAACAUUUACUGACAAUGUGGCCUUGGGCAAGUUACAGAACUUCUUGGAAAACCUGUUAAUUCUUUUGCAAAAUGAAAACAAUUAGAUCGUAUUUGCAGAGUUGUUUAAAAGGUAGAGAGAAUGUAUACCAAGCAAAGUAUGUAUUACUCAUGACUGACUAGAUAUAUUAUAUAUUACUUAGGUCAAAAAUUAUAUUAAUAUUUGCAAAAUAAAUAAUAAGAAACUUGUUCCAUAUGUUGACCAAAUAUUAAGCAAAUAAAUGCAGAACUCAGUUGAUCACCAAUUGCAUAUAUAACCUAAUUCCUAUAUAACAAUGUAUAUAAAGUAAAAGAGAAACUUCAACUAUAAGUGCUAAUUUAGAAAGAAAAUUUACAAUCCGAACUGAUGAAAACAAAUAAAAUGUGUCAUCAUAAUAUUUGCAAUUGGUAUGAGAAGCUUCCUUGAAACUCAAGCAUGGUGACGAUGAAGGAGGUGAAUUUUUUUAAAUGAGAAAAUUGAGAUUCAAAUUUUCACCUACUUUUAUGAACUGUGAUAGGAAUAGAAGUGAUUUAAAAUUGGAAAUCUAAAAGACAAUCCUGAAGCACUGUGGGAAUGGUACAAUACUGGGACUGUUCUAUUCCUGCUUACUCCUACACAGUCACUUCCUUUUUUUGUUGUUUUUUUCCUUGGGUAAUAUUGUAAUGUAGAAAAUGCAUAUUUGAAUUUACAGAAUGUCAGUUAUCAUGAAAACUAAAAUGCGUAGUUUUAUAUGCAUAUUUUCAAAAAGGAAGUUACAUUUAAAAAGAACUCUUUAGUUUGCUCUUACUUUUUAUAUGUCAAUGCAUAUAGAGAAGGAGAAAGGAAAAGGCUGCCUAUAGAAAACUGGGCUCCAUGCAGCUACUCUCAGGUAUUUUUAUAUUUAGCACAGGUAUGAAUAUUAGUAUGUGUCUGUAUGCCCAAGAAAGAAGUAAAAUGGGUCAAGGCUAAGAGGUUUUUUAUCUUUUCUAACUUUCCUUUUUUUGUUAACUGUUACAUUUUCAUGUUAAUUGAGUGCUUCUGUAUCAGGAUGGCCCUUGAUGCAUUUUGAUAAUUUACCGUAAAGAAGAAAACAGUCAUAAAGAGAAAAGAAUAGAAUUGAUGAAUCUCUCUAGAACUUUUCGAUUUUGUAAUCUCCAAAAAAAUUUGCUUUUUUAAAAAAGUACUCUGUCAAAGCUGAGUUUAUGUUACAUAAAAUAGUUGAAAGUACCAGCAGGUCUAUAUUUGUAAUGUGUCUUAGUACUGAUAGAUGUUUUAUCAUUCUCAUAUCUUUUUCAGAUGCCUACUGUGUGCUCAUCUCGCUGCUAUGCAGGAGGAGCAUGCAAAAAUCAGCUCAGCCUCUGAAAUAGAUCACUGUACUGAUUUAUAUCGGUAGAUUGGUUGCCUAAACAAGCAAGAGCUAGCCAGUUGACUUUGAGACUAUACUGCAUAGGCCAACUCACAUUUGGUAUGUGACUAAUCAUAUCACCUAAUUCCCUAAUAUGUGAUUCGGAAUUAGAAAUUCCGAGUAGAAAUUCACCCAUGGAUAGGAGAAUCUAAUUCCUUUUUUCCUUUAAUGUACAAAUAAAGCAAGGGGUUGCUGUUUCUUAUAGUAAGAGCAAAAAAAGGAAUUACUCAUUUGUCAAGUUCUAGACAAUGGACCCAGGUAAAAAUUUAUGGUAAGAAUUAUGUCUAAAGUUUAAUAUAAUGCCAGAUAUAUAUUAUUGAAGAUUGAAAAUAUAGUACAUAUUUGAGAUUGUAUUUUAAGGCUAGUAGUGAAGUAGUUAAUUCACAAAUUGUCCAAGCUAUGGAAAAGUCUAAUUAUUAAUUUAUUCAAAAUAUGUCUUACUUAUCUAUUGUAUACCAGGCCCUUUUGGUCUAAAUUAUGUCUAAAUUCUUUCUUUUCUACAUGGCUGGAGGGUAAAAUAUGACCCUAGGAAAUUACUCACUUUGUUCAUUUGAAUGUCAAUAUUGUUGAGGAUUUGAAAGAAUGAAAAAGCUAAUUAUUUGAAUAAAACGAUCUCAGCUGCUGGACAACUGUGCACCUGUAUGGCAUUUCUUACCUUUGGAGAAAGACUCAAAGUCAUUGAGCUGUCGAAAAAUGGACUGACAGCUGAUUUUUACAGUAAAGGAAAAAUAAAGUUGAUCAAUGAAACAGUUAAUAAUUUUUUGAUGAUAUCAUCCUAAAAAUACUGAUGGUAUAUACUUUCCCUUUCGUUUAUUUGAUGUCUACUAACUGUUCAACUGACAUCCAAAAUAUAAACACUGUUUUUUCUCUUCUAAAUCCUUUAGACCUAUCCUACUAUCCUAAAAAAGAUGGAAUGUUUUAUUGCUGCUUUCUAUGUAAAAUAAAAUGUCACCUAGAGGUUCAACUUGUCAUUUAGUUAUAAAAGAUAAACCAAUGAUGAUCCAGUCAUUGUUAUAAUAAAAUAAGGGAUCUAAGGAAUUGACUUUAAUAAUGGUGGACUUGAAAAUGCAGUAAUUAUUCUAUGCACUAAGAGUCUGAACACAGCACAGCCAUUAUAACAAUGGAAAGUUUAUAUGGGUUGCGUUUCAGAAUAUGAUGCAUCUGGAUAUUGAAAAACCUUUUUUCCAUCAGUUUUAUUCUGUGUAGCUAAGGACAUUUCAGUUACACCCAGUUAACCCAGAUUAGUGUGCAUCAGGGAGCAUUCAAGGUAUAGUUUUUGACAGAUUAGGUUGAAAUAAUAAAAAAGUAUUAUCACUAGGUUAGUGUUUCACAAAUUGGGAUACAUGAAAUGAUGUCCCUGGAGAUACUAACAAUGAUUGAUAAUGAAAUUAGUUGAUAUAAAUGUAUCAAUUUACUGUAUAUCAAAUCUCUCUUGAAGCAUCAUAAUUCAUAGAGAAAUCAAUGAGAAAUCCUGGAAUAAAGGUAUUUUUCAAUUUGGUUAAUGAAUCUCAACUGAUAAAAACAAUAAAAGGCACAACUCCUUUCUUCCUGUGUCUGUGAAAAGGAAAAAGAAAUUAGAUUCUUCUGUCCCUGGAUAAAUUUCCACUUGAGAAAUUACAAAUCAUGGUGAGUUUAGAUAGAAUUCAGGUAGUUAGACCAACACAUUUCAACAUUUUUAACCAGGCAAUACGUUUUUACAGCUAUAGAUUGAGAAAGGCUUUUUGAACUUAGUAUAUAUCGCUAAGGCAAGUCUUGCCAGGAUUGCUGAAGAAACAUUGUCCAAUUUUUAUUGCUGUGAGUAACACUUAAAUCAAAAAAGUCAUAAUUCAGAACUACCUGGGACAACAGAGAUCAAAUGGUAUACAGUUGUAAAUACAAAAUUAUUGAGUGCAUUAAUGUUUAAAGAAGAUAAAACUUCUGAGUUUGCUUCUGUUUAUUCCAGCCAUUCUGCCUGAAACAUUCAGAAAAGAAAUAGUUUUCAACUUUCUGUCCUAAUUAGCUCAGCCCUCACCAAUGAACACAAACAUUUUAGAGGUCAUUAUUAUUCCUACCUACAUUUUUACAGCACACUGACCUAUGUGCUAUUUAAAUUCUGGGGUUUUAAUUUCAUCAUGAUUAUUGCAGUUUUCCAAAUGCCACUGGAUGUAGAUUACUGCCAAGUAAGGCUUAUUAUCAGCGGGCCAGGGUUAUAAUGUACCACAGACAGUAGCAUUCAGUUAAGGCCAAAGUAGUUUAUUUCAUAUGGCUAGCUUACAGCACACAUUAUGCAGGAGGAACUGCCUAUUGACAAAAUUACAGAAAAAAAAAUGCGUAAGUACAAAAUCCUCUGUGGCAUUUGCCUUGAAGUUGCAUCCCAAAUUUAACACGUAAUUAAUUUUACCAUAAUAAAAAUAAUCAUCUUUUCCCCUGCAACAAGGCACAGUGUAAUUGUGUAGACUACUUUUAAUUCCGAUUGAUAAUCCUAAGUUUAAGACAUGUGUAGUAUGCUUAUUUUAAAUUUUAAAACUGUGUUGGGAAGUUCUGAGAAAUAUAUAGUAUGAAAUCCUUAUAAUUCCUUUGCAAAAGUAACCUUUUGGAUUUUAUGUUCUCUUAAGCACUAAAUUUCAUGUUGUGUCUCUUCUACUUCCCAGUGAACUGUGUUACUGAAAAUUAAAACACUUAAAACACAAGCCAGUACAACAAAAGUUCAUCCUAGUAAUUCUAAAGCUCUUCAAUUCUUAGAGUUUAGCCUUUGUCAAUAGCCAAAAUAUUUGUUUGAAAAAUAACUUUUUUGGGUUUCAAAGCAAAUGAAAACGUAAAACAAA
Molecule: long non-coding RNA, 8369 nt
Organism: Sapajus apella (tufted capuchin)
Lineage: Eukaryota; Metazoa; Chordata; Mammalia; Primates; Cebidae
Exons: 2
Source: RefSeq, a predicted model, not a curated record